RNAcentral lists this ribosomal RNA (243 nucleotides) under uncultured Actinomycetales bacterium. RNAcentral describes it as "partial 16S ribosomal RNA". It matches the Rfam family "Bacterial small subunit ribosomal RNA", at positions 88 to 334 of the family's 1533-position model. The record is from RNAcentral. Lineage: Bacteria; Bacillati; Actinomycetota; Actinomycetes; Actinomycetales.
UACUCGAGUGGCGAACGGGUGAGUAACACGUGGGUGAUCUGCCCUGCACCUCGGGAUAAGCCUGGGAAACUGGGUCUAAUACCGGAUAGGAGCCAUUUUUAGUGUGAUGGUUGGAAAGUUUUUUCGGUGUAGGAUGAGCUCGCGGCCUAUCAGCUUGUUGGUGGGGUAAUGGCCUACCAAGGCGGCGACGGGUAGCCGGCCUGAGAGGGUGGACGGCCACAUUGGGACUGAGAUACGGCCCAG